CAUUAAGCGGAGGAAAAGAAACUAACUAGGAUUCCCUCAGUACGGGCGACGGAAGCGGGAAAAGCCCAAAAUGGAAAUCUCCAGGCGAAAGUCUGGCGAAUUGUAAUCUGAAGAUUGGUAGCCUAACCGGUAGAGACGCAGAAGUGUCCACGAGCGGACCGCCAAAGAGGGUGAGAGCCCCGUAUGUGGUGUCUAGACCGACCUGGCUGCGAGUCAAAGAGUCGUGUACUCUGAUACGAGUGCACUAAGCGGGAGAUAAACUUCUUCUAAGGCUAAAUAUGUGUAGGAAACCGAUAGCGAACAAGUACUGUGAAGGAAAGAUGAAAAGCACUUUGAAAAGAGAGUUAAAAGACUUGAAAUCGUUGAGGCGGAAGCGGUAGAAAUGAAUUCUACGGCGUCGCUCUGAGGUGCGGAGACAAACAUCCGAGCUGUACAGCGGCGUAGUGAGGCAAGAUGGAGUCGAAUGAUGCCAGAGGCGGUGCGGAGUGGGAAGCCUAGCUUUACUCCGUGCUGGCUGGGUGUCAAACGGCUCGAGGGGCCUUGUGCGAUCUUGUCAAAAUGGUUUUUACCGACCCGUCUG
This 580-nucleotide ribosomal RNA is filed under the name uncultured ciliate. RNAcentral describes it as "partial large subunit ribosomal RNA". It matches the Rfam family "Eukaryotic large subunit ribosomal RNA", at positions 44 to 655 of the family's 3401-position model. Lineage: Eukaryota; Ciliophora. The record is from RNAcentral.